Long non-coding RNA from Aegilops tauschii subsp. strangulata, 747 nucleotides. RefSeq lists it as uncharacterized. NCBI's taxonomy places the organism in Eukaryota, Viridiplantae, Streptophyta, Magnoliopsida, Poales, Poaceae. The record is from RefSeq and is a predicted model, not a curated record.
AACUGUUCCCUGAAUCUGUGAAUUCCUCCAAAAUUUCCUACAGUUUGACUGUCAACUCUGCGCAUUGUUGAAAUGCUCUGACAUGAGAGGCCUGGCCUAUUUAUACAGACCACCUACCUGCUCUACUCGUGGUGAGGCUGCGACUGAGAGCAGAGCACAGAGCGAGAAAAAACGCAGAGAUGAGGUUCCUUGGCCUUGUGAGCCUGGUUGCUUUGAUCUUCCUCUUAAGCUUCAGGUCUUUGCUUCACCAGCAAGUGCUCGUUGUUCUUUUCCCUUCCGUGCAAGGAGAAGGUGCUGCGACUGCGAGCCAUGACGACGGCAGGAGGCAGCACGCCAAGGAGUGGGCCGAGGAGAGGAAGAGGAUGAGGUGGUUCAUGACCAAGGACUACGGCCAUCCGAGGCGCCACACGCCGAGGCACAACCGGCUGCUGUAGAAGAGAAGCUUGCAACAUGAGAGAGAAGGCCGACGGCGACGUAGGUCUUUCCUAGCUGAUCCUAGCUACUCCCUCCGUCCACUGGGACGGAGGGAGUAGCUAGCUAGCUCAUCUCAAUUUGGUCCCAUGUGUGCUGUCCUGAUCGGCACGCAAAUUUUGUACCCCCCUUGACCAAAUAUAUAUUAGAGAUGUUAUUAUAGGAGUAUAAAAUGAUGUCUCUUUUGGUAGAUUCUGUAAGGACUGUGUAGAGUCUCUUGUAGCUUCAUGGUUCCCACUAUCUUUGAUAUCUCAUGAAAAAUAGUCGCUUUGCUAA